GCGGUCUCAUUGCAAUGGUUCAGG
RNAcentral lists this non-coding RNA (24 nucleotides) under Arabidopsis thaliana (thale cress). Lineage: Eukaryota; Viridiplantae; Streptophyta; Magnoliopsida; Brassicales; Brassicaceae. The record is from RNAcentral.